GAUAGAUAGAUAGAUCUGUCUUUAAAAAAUACACCUGCUGUUAUAGUGGGCAUUUACAAAUGAAGUCAUGCAAAUUGUUGUUUUCCUUGUAUUUCUGACUACAUCAGUCACAUUUUUAUCUAUUUUUUAUUUUGGUGAGUACAUGCUUAGCUCUGUGACACAUUCACAUCUGUUUCUCCUGUGUGCUACCUGAGUUAAUAAUCUCAAGUAAAAUUAAAUAAUCUUCUUAUUCUGAUAGAGAAGAAAAAACUGGAUCACUUACCAGUAACUGGAGUUCUCCUAUUGGGUAAUCUCCACAGAUCCACAUUCUCUGACGCUAUUGUGAGUGCCUUGAGGACCGAGGGACGGUUGUGAUCCCCUCCCAGGAAGGAAACCUCGCCCUGUCUCCCAGCUGGUCGCACAGCAGGUCACUCAGCAGUUCGUGCCCCCUACCCAGUCGAAGAAAGAGAAGAAAGACAAAGUAGAGAAGGACAAAAGUGAGAAGGAAGCAGCUAGCAAAAAGAACUGUCACAAGAGAACCAGACCAAGAUUAAAAAAUGUGGAUCGGAGUAGCGCGCAGCACUUGGAAGUCACUGUUGGAGACCUGACAGUCAUUAUCACAGACUUUAAGGAGAAAGCGAAGUCAGCGCCUGCAUCCGGAGCCGCGGCCGC
Molecule: long non-coding RNA, 651 nt
Filed under: Rattus norvegicus (Norway rat)
Lineage: Eukaryota; Metazoa; Chordata; Mammalia; Rodentia; Muridae
Description: long non-coding RNA NONRATT027262
Source: RNAcentral